GUCGGGGUGGCGGAACUGGCAGACGCGCAAGCUUGAGGGGCUUGUGGCCGCAAGGCUGUGGAGGUUCAAGUCCUCUCCCCGACA
This 84-nucleotide transfer RNA is filed under the name Candidatus Roizmanbacteria bacterium CG_4_10_14_0_2_um_filter_36_35. RNAcentral describes it as "tRNA-Leu". It matches the Rfam family "tRNA". Rfam says of the family: Transfer RNA (tRNA) molecules are approximately 80 nucleotides in length. Their secondary structure includes four short double-helical elements and three loops (D, anti-codon, and T loops). The record is from RNAcentral. RNAcentral also lists the same sequence under 6 other names. Lineage: Bacteria; Candidatus Roizmaniibacteriota.